CGCUGUAGUUUGAUCCUGGCUCAGAAUGAACGCUAGCGGCAGGUCUUAACACAUGCAAGUCGAGGGGUAUAGUUCUUCGGAACUAGAGACCGGCGCACGGGUGCGUAACGCGUAUGCAAUCUACCUUUUACAGAGGGAUAGCCCAGAGAAAUUUGGAUUAAUACCUCAUAGUAUGUGAGAAUCGGCAUGGUUUUCACAUUAAAGUUCCAACGGUAAAAGAUGAGCAUGCGUCCCAUUAGCUAGAUGGUAAGGUAACGGCUUACCAUGGCAACGAUGGGUAGGGGUCCUGAGAGGGAGAUCCCCCGACACUGGUACUGAGACACGGACCAGACUCUACGGGGAGCAGCAGUGAGGAAUAUUGGACAAUGGGGCGCAAGCCUGAUCCCAGCCAUGCCGCGUGCAGGAUGACGG
RNAcentral lists this ribosomal RNA (411 nucleotides) under uncultured Flavobacterium sp. RNAcentral describes it as "bacterial SSU rRNA". It matches the Rfam family "Bacterial small subunit ribosomal RNA", at positions 1 to 414 of the family's 1533-position model. Lineage: Bacteria; Pseudomonadati; Bacteroidota; Flavobacteriia; Flavobacteriales; Flavobacteriaceae. The record is from RNAcentral.